RNAcentral lists this ribosomal RNA (496 nucleotides) under uncultured bacterium. RNAcentral describes it as "bacterial SSU rRNA". It matches the Rfam family "Bacterial small subunit ribosomal RNA", at positions 8 to 523 of the family's 1533-position model. The record is from RNAcentral.
AGAGUUUGAUCCUGGCUCAGGACGAACGCUGGCGGCGUGCUUAACACAUGCAAGUCGAGCGAGGGGAAUUCUUCGGAAUGAACCUAGCGGCGGACGGGUGAGUAACACGUGAGUAACCUGCCCUAUGGAGGGGGAUAACACAGAGAAAUUUGUGCUAAUACCGCAUAACACUGAUGCUUCGCAUGGAGUGUCAGUCAAAGAUUUAUCGCCAUAGGAUGGACUCGCGGCGCAUUAGCUAGUUGGUGAGGUAACGGCUCACCAAGGCGGCGAUGCGUAGCCGACCUGAGAGGGUGAUCGGCCACAUUGGAACUGAGACACGGUCCAGACUCCUACGGGAGGCAGCAGUGGGGAAUAUUGCACAAUGGAGGAAACUCUGAUGCAGCAACGCCGCGUGGAGGAUGACGCAUUUCGGUGUGUAAACUCCUUUUAAGAGGGAAGAUAAUGACGGUACCUCUWGAAUAAGCMCCGGCUAACUYCGUGCCAGCAGCCGCGGUAA